GACGAACGCUGGCGGCGUGCUUAACACAUGCAAGUCGAACGCUGAAGCUCAGCUUGCUGGGUGGAUGAGUGGCGAACGGGUGAGUAACACGUGAGUAACCUGCCCUCUUCUUUGGGAUAACGCCCGGAAACGGGUGCUAAUACUGGAUAUUCACUGAUUCUCGCAUGGGGGUUGGUGGAAAGGUUUUUUCUGGUGGGGGAUGGGCUCGCGGCCUAUCAGCUUGUUGGUGGGGUGAUGGCCUACCAAGGCUUUGACGGGUAGCCGGCCUGAGAGGGUGACCGGUCACAUUGGGACUGAGAUACGGCCCAGACUCCUACGGGAGGCAGCAGUGGGGAAUAUUGCACAAUGGGCGAAAGCCUGAUGCAGCGACGCCGCGUAAGGGAUGGAGGCCUUCGGGUUGUAAACCUCUUUCGCUCAUGGUCAAGCCGCAGCUUUGGGUUGUGGUGAGGGUAGUGGGUAAAGAAGCGCCGGCUAACUACGUG
Molecule: ribosomal RNA, 482 nt
Filed under: uncultured bacterium
Lineage: Bacteria
Description: partial 16S ribosomal RNA
Rfam family: Bacterial small subunit ribosomal RNA
Source: RNAcentral